GCCAGCAGCCAUAUCACCCUGCAGCUCUCAACUGCCUACCCACUGAAGCUAAGCAGGGUUGACCCUGGUCAGUACCUAGAUGGGAGCCCUCCUGGGAAGCUAUGGUUGCUGCUGGAA
This 117-nucleotide ribosomal RNA is filed under the name Lepisosteus oculatus (spotted gar). The record is from RNAcentral. Lineage: Eukaryota; Metazoa; Chordata; Actinopteri; Semionotiformes; Lepisosteidae.